RNAcentral lists this unclassified non-coding RNA (1028 nucleotides) under Hevea brasiliensis (rubber tree). Lineage: Eukaryota; Viridiplantae; Streptophyta; Magnoliopsida; Malpighiales; Euphorbiaceae. The record is from RNAcentral.
UGCUCUCUCUCUCUUUUUCUCACUGUUUCAAGCUCGGACUUAGAUCAUUCACUGUCACCCCUUUUCCUCUCUCUCUCUAAUAUUUCUAUUGAAGUCUCUCCAUUUUUCGCUGGACUGUAUCGAGAGUGGUUAGGGUUGCAUUCUUUCUCCACAUUUCCCUUAUUUUUUAGCUACCCAUACGCAGCUACUCUCUAAUGUCACACCCAAUUGGGCUCUCUUUCUGGAGAGAGAGCUUCCUGGUUUUUGUUUUUCUUUCUUUUCCAUAGGUCACUUAGGGAGAGAGAGAUAUAUAUAUAUAUUUAUAUAUAUCUUUGAUAACCAGCUGCUUUGUUUUAGAUUUGAGAUCAAGAGUAGAAAACAAGGAAAAGAAGAAGCUGGUUUUUAGACUGACUGAGCUAGAGAGAGAAGGAGGGGUGAGGGGGAAGAAGAGAAAUUUGGUUCCAAGUUUGGAUUUUUUUUAAGCUUAGUUGUAUUUUUGUUUUUAUUAAUUUCUUUGCUUUCCCCCUCUUUUGGGUUAAAGCAGAAUUUGGUUUUUUGAGAGAUUGGUGAACAAAUAAGGAGGAGAAGGUUUCUCGCAAAAAUCCAUACAGAUUCUCCGUGUCUGUAUAUAUUGGCCUUCACUCUGCGAAACCCAACUUCAUUUGGCUUUUACCUUCCUCUCCAAUCCUUACCCUUUUCUUUUUAAGUCUCAAGAUUCUUCAUUAAGCUCAAAUCAUUCUCAUACCUCUCUCUCUAUCUCAGACCUCUCUCUCUAUCUCAGACACACACAUCUUUGAAGGAACGGGCUUUACUAAAACGAAAGAAUCUUAAUCCAUAAGCCCCUAAAAUAUAAGGAAGAAAAUCCCAGAACAACCACCUUCCCUCUCUCUCUCUGGCUGUCUGUUUGGUGGUCUAUUUGGUGGGUUUAUUUCUCCUUUUUUAUUUUUAUUUUUUUUUAAUCUAAGCUCAUGCAUGUAUUCCCAAAGGACUUGACUUACAUGUGGUAUUUUUUUUAUAUGUUAUUAUCCUUUAAUAUUUUUUUAUUACGU